RNAcentral lists this ribosomal RNA (553 nucleotides) under uncultured bacterium. RNAcentral describes it as "partial 16S ribosomal RNA". It matches the Rfam family "Bacterial small subunit ribosomal RNA", at positions 355 to 907 of the family's 1533-position model. The record is from RNAcentral.
UGAGGAAUAUUGGUCAAUGGGCGAGAGCCUGAACCAGCCAAAUCGCGUGAAGGAAGACUGCCUUAUGGGUUGUAAACUUCUUUUAUACAGGAAUAAAAAAGGGGACGUGUCCCUUAUUGCAUGUACUGUAUGAAUAAGCAUCGGCUAACUCCGUGCCAGCAGCCGCGGUAAUACGGAGGAUGCGAGCGUUAUCCGGAUUUAUUGGGUUUAAAGGGUGCGCAGGCGGGCUUUUAAGUCAGCGGUGAAAUCUCGGGGCUUAACUCCGAAACUGCCGUUGAAACUGGGAGUCUUGAGUAUGGAUGAAGUAGGCGGAAUUCGUUGUGUAGCGGUGACAUGCUUAGAUAUAACGAGGAACUCCGAUUGCGUAGGCAGCUUACUAAGCCAUAACUGACGCUCAAGCACGAAAGCGUGGGAUCAAACAGGAUUAGAUACCCUGGUAGUCCACGCCGUAAACGAUGAUUACUAGUUGUAUGCGAUAUACCGUAUGUGACUAAGCGAAAAGCGAUAAAGUAAUCCACCUGGGGAGUACGCCGGCAACGGUGAAACUCAAAUG